Long non-coding RNA from Astyanax mexicanus (Mexican tetra), 1203 nucleotides. RefSeq lists it as uncharacterized. The record is from RefSeq and is a predicted model, not a curated record. Lineage: Eukaryota; Metazoa; Chordata; Actinopteri; Characiformes; Acestrorhamphidae. The transcript has 2 exons.
CAACCUCAAUCUCAAUUCUAAAACCCAAACCAAACCUCAAUCUCAAUUCCAAAACCCAACCCCAACCUCAAUUCCAAAACUCAAUCUCAAUUAAAAAAAAACCAAACCCAACCUCAAUCUCAAUUUCAAAACCCAAACCCAACCUCAAUCUCAAUUCCAAAACCCUACCCCCAACCUUGAUCUCAAUUCUAAAACUCUACAUCAAUUCCAAAACAAAAACCUAACCUAAAUCUCAAUUCUAAAACCCAAACCUAAACCCAAGCUCAAUGUCACACAAGACCAGGGUAAGGAUCCAGAAGCAGCUUUUAUUAGCAAAAAUAACAAAGUCCAGGCAGACAAAUACAGACAGGGGAAUUCCAAAAAUUAAAGUAAAAAAAUCAUUGCUGAGAUAUAAUCACCAGAAGAGACAAGGUUCACAAAAUGCUUAAAAAUGCUAGAAUAACCAGACAAGAUGCCACAGAAUAAUGAGCAAAAUAAUGCAGUUGUACAAAUACUAAAACUGAGACAAGAGUGACCUCCUGAGGUGUGGAGGUGCAACAACUGGGCCAUUAGUAACACUCAAACACCAAAAAGCCAAUCUCAAAUUUAACACAACCUUAAACCUAAACCAAACCCAAUCUCAAUCCCAAAAUCCAAACCCAAACUCAAACUUAACACAACCUCAAACCUAAACCUUAACCCAAUCUCAAUCCAAAAAUCCAAAUUUGACACCAAACUCAAACCAAAACCCAAAUUCAACCCCAAUCUCAGUCCCAAUCUCUAAACCCAAACCAAAAACUUGAGUUUAAGUUUGGGUUUUGGAUUGUUUGGAGUUUUAGUUUGGGUUUUAGUCUGGAUUUGAGUUUGGAUUUUGGUCUGGAUUUGAGUUUGGGUUUUGGGUCUGGAUUUGAGUUUGGGAUUUGAUCUGGAUUCGAGUUUGGGAUUAAGUUUGGGUUCUGGUCUGGGUUUGAUUUAAGUUUGGGUUUUGGUUGGUUUAGAGUUUUAGUUUGGGGUUGCUCUGGAUUUCAGAUUGGGUUUGAUUUAAGGGUUUGAGGUUUAAGUUUUGGUUUUGGUCUGGGUUUGGUUUUGAUGGGUUAUACAUAUUAGUGCUGUUAGUGCUGUCAGGUGAUUAAAAACGAAUCUUAAUGAAUUAUAUGUUAUGUGACACUUUUUGCUAAGAACGAAUUUUAAAUGGUACAGUUCAAUAAAAAUUUACCAGAGGAA